Molecule: long non-coding RNA, 887 nt
Filed under: Cyanoderma ruficeps (rufous-capped babbler)
Lineage: Eukaryota; Metazoa; Chordata; Aves; Passeriformes; Timaliidae
Description: lncRNA (ENSCRFG00000010619.1)
Source: RNAcentral
AUGAGUUGCUUUUGUGCAAAUCGCCUUUUGUCUUCGCUUUUUUAUGGAGGCUUGCUGGAGUGCGAAGAUCCCUCUGUGAAAAUAAGGGAUCUCUGCAGGCAGCGCUGCCACGCUCUGUCCCUCUGGAGCUGCUGUGUUCACCUAGGAGCUGUUAGACGACUGGAAAACAAGAGAUCUUGCCAAGGAGCUACGUGGGACAACCAAUGUUUCCCUUUGGUCCUGUUUACUGCUGUGACAGCCUCAUCCUGCAGAGCAGAACGAGUGUGCUCUUGGGAAUAAAACUGUUAAGGCUUCUUGGAGAUGCAGAGUGAAAUGUUUACGUGAGAGACCGUGUCAGCAGCUGUGUGCCUUAUCCAAGCAAGCAUGUCCAGGAAUGUUUAUAGAAACAUGGCAGCGCUAAAUCGGGACAGUUGGUCACUAAUCUUUGCAAAGAUACAGAACUGAUUAAAUAAAAAGAUUCCCUGAGGCAGCCUCUAAGUUGCAGUAUAAGGGUGACCCAGGCUUUUAAAGGCUCCUCUCUGGCCCCUGUUCCUCCCCACACUUCCUCUGUGUGGUCACUCCAGAUUGCUGCCAGCUGGCCCGUUCGUCCUGCGUGGGGUUUUGACCUUUCAGAGAGACAGACAAAAUCUGUGGCUUGUGCAAAUCUUUGAAUUUGCAGCCAGUCUAGCAGUGAGGGGGAGGAAUAGAGGGAGUUUAAGCUGCAGAGGGAAGAGACUCUGCUCUUCAUUGCCUCACUAUUGACCACAGACCCCUCUGUGCCCAUAAAUGAGUCUGAGUCUCCUUGCCUGUUGUGUUGCCUUCUCCCCUUGUUUCAGACAUCAGGUUAUGGUGUGUUUCCAGCUAGACAAAUACGAGCUGGUUUUUUGUUCCAGGGUAAGAUUUUUUUU